This 108-nucleotide ribosomal RNA is filed under the name Escherichia coli. RNAcentral describes it as "partial 23S ribosomal RNA". The stretch from base 1 to 96 matches the Rfam family "Bacterial large subunit ribosomal RNA", at positions 2830 to 2925 of the family's 2925-position model. RNAcentral also lists the same sequence under 52 other names. The record is from RNAcentral. Lineage: Bacteria; Pseudomonadati; Pseudomonadota; Gammaproteobacteria; Enterobacterales; Enterobacteriaceae.
AAGGAACGUUGAAGACGACGACGUUGAUAGGCCGGGUGUGUAAGCGCAGCGAUGCGUUGAGCUAACCGGUACUAAUGAACCGUGAGGCUUAACCUUACAACGCCGAAG